UACGUAGGGUGCAAGCGUUGUCCGGAAUUACUGGGCGUAAAGGGCGCGUAGGCGGCCGCCUAAGUCGAACGUGAAAUCCCCGGGCUCAACCCGGGAACUGCGUCCGAUACUGGGUGGCUUGAAUUCGGGAGAGGGAUGCGGAAUUCCAGGUGUAGCGGUGAAAUGCGUAGAUAUCUGGAGGAACACCGGUGGCGAAGGCGGCAUCCUGGACCGACAUUGACGCUGAGGCGCGAAAGCCAGGGGAGCAAAGCGGGAUUAAGAUGACC
This 266-nucleotide ribosomal RNA is filed under the name uncultured bacterium. RNAcentral's name for it is "partial 16S ribosomal RNA". It matches the Rfam family "Bacterial small subunit ribosomal RNA", at positions 524 to 787 of the family's 1533-position model. The record is from RNAcentral.